This 110-nucleotide ribosomal RNA is filed under the name uncultured bacterium. RNAcentral describes it as "partial 16S ribosomal RNA". It matches the Rfam family "Bacterial small subunit ribosomal RNA", at positions 355 to 480 of the family's 1533-position model. The record is from RNAcentral.
UGGGGGAUCUUGCGCAAUGGGCGGAAGCCUGACGCAGCGACGCCGCGUGGGGGAGAAGGCUCUUUGGGUUGUAAACCCCUGUCUUAGGGGACGAAGGAAGGACGGUACCC